This 71-nucleotide non-coding RNA is filed under the name pig gut metagenome. RNAcentral's name for it is "Glycine riboswitch". It matches the Rfam family "Glycine riboswitch aptamer", at positions 9 to 86 of the family's 94-position model. From Rfam's summary of the family: This family represents the bacterial glycine riboswitch. The record is from RNAcentral.
UCUGGGAGAGACUGCAGUUAUGCGGCGCCGAAGGUGAACAGAGCGAAAAACUCUCAGGCAAAAGGACCAGG